GCACCGUUUUCUUUGUGGAGGUAUAGCGAACGCGCAUUCCUUUCUUUCUUUUUUGGUUCGCGUCGGCCGAGUGGCGAUAUCCUAUUACAUCCGGAACGAGGACCUAUCGCUUUGCGAUCGCAUACAAGAGUGAGCCAUCUUUUGACGAUGGUAGGAUAAUUAUUGACCUGAGGAAUAAUAUGGAUUUAUGUGGUUGUGGUGGACUUUGUGUUUGUGAUUGUGAAAAUGUGAGUGUGUGUCUGUGUAUGUGUGAACCAGGGAUCCCACUUGACAAGUUGACCUUGUCUAGAGGAGCAUUAGUGGAAAAAAACAGGGUAGCCCUGAGACAAUAGGAUGCCGUCACGACCAAUGAGACUGGCCUGCAGGGGGCGCAAGGAUUCACUUCUCUCUUGGACACUGGCGGGUGUAGACACGGUGGAUUUUGUGACGAGCGGAUUUACAAUGAGGGAAUGCUGUGAACGGGAAAAAUGAUGAGCUGUCCUAACUUGCC
Long non-coding RNA from Ornithodoros turicata, 490 nucleotides. RefSeq lists it as uncharacterized. The transcript is spliced from 4 exons. The record is from RefSeq and is a predicted model, not a curated record. NCBI's taxonomy places the organism in Eukaryota, Metazoa, Arthropoda, Arachnida, Ixodida, Argasidae.